RNAcentral lists this ribosomal RNA (250 nucleotides) under uncultured prokaryote. RNAcentral describes it as "partial 16S ribosomal RNA". It matches the Rfam family "Bacterial small subunit ribosomal RNA", at positions 524 to 773 of the family's 1533-position model. The record is from RNAcentral.
UACUUAGGGUGCGAGCGUUAAUCGGAAUUACUGGGCGUAAAGCGUGCGCAGGCGGUUUUGUAAGUCAGAUGUGAAAUCCCCGGGCUUAACCUGGGAACUGCGUUUGAAACUACAAGGCUAGAGUGUGGCAGAGGGGGGUGGAAUUCCACGUGUAGCAGUGAAAUGCGUAGAGAUGUGGAGGAACACCGAUGGCGAAGGCAGCCCCCUGGGUUAACACUGACGCUCAGGCACGAAAGCGUGGGGAGCAAAC